UCUCUAAAACGGCGCUGCAUUCUCUCUGUCGCCGUUAUCCUCUUUCGAAAACAUCAUCGCAAUAAUGUCAACACCGAUUCAUCGUCGUCAUCUUCAACUCGGAAAGUUAGCGACUUUGAUCGACUUCGAUGAAGCUUUGACAAACCCAGGGUUGUCUGAUCAUUGUGGCCUGUUUCCGAGAGAUUUUUGUACUUGAGAGGUUAAAGAAGACGAAACAGCAAGAAGAUAAAUGGGUUGUGCUGGAUCGACACAGUCGCAAGGAGAAGGUAUAAACAAUUCUGUUGCUGGUUACAGGAAAGAAGAGCUCUUGAAGAGAAUCUCCAGAAAAACAGCAACUCUAAAUCAUCACCAAGAACAGCUGAGAAAAAGAGCAAUGAUGGACUCAAUAGAUGAUUCCUCCUAAACGAGAGAUGAGAGUUUCAAGGAGUGAAUCUUGUUAGUUAAUGUUAGACUUGUAGCAGAUUUUAGAAUUGUAACAUUUUCUUAUUCUUUUUUUUUUGUUAAAUUGAUGAUUAUUUAAAAAAUGUUAGCUUGUCAACAAGGCUGAAGAAGUAUAAUGUACAAAAACAACCUGGUUUUACAUUAUAAUUCAA
Long non-coding RNA from Eutrema salsugineum, 593 nucleotides. RefSeq lists it as uncharacterized. The transcript has 4 exons. NCBI's taxonomy places the organism in Eukaryota, Viridiplantae, Streptophyta, Magnoliopsida, Brassicales, Brassicaceae. The record is from RefSeq and is a predicted model, not a curated record.